GUAUUUCCAAAGUCAGCCUGGUAGCUUUUGUCACCAGGGGAAGUUGCAGCCAGUUCUCAUAGACAAACUGGUCAUCUCGGUGCCACUGCAUAUGAGUACCAGAAGACACAGCGUACCACCCGAGGCACAUUGCCUAUUCUGAGUAAGAGUGACAAAGAGUAACAUUAAGAGUUUUCAAACCCAGGCAUCUAUGUGUAACAAAAGCCAACCAUUCCCCAAAGGCCUUGAAGUGUCUCUGUGUACCCUUUGAACCCACUUGCUUGCUGGAUGUUGGCACUGGGGGCUAGAAGUAAGGGCAACAGAACUUGAUGAAUUACACAUAUUAUGGAAGUGAAACAAACAACAGGUUCCUGGGCAGUCUUCGUAACAAAUGUCCUAGUGUCUGAAAGAUCAGUAUUUUUCCUUACCGGCCAGACCAAUGGUGACACAAGGCUCCUCUCCAGGGUGAUGGCAAUGUCUUCCAGGUGUAGUGGAGCAUGGAAAACAGUCACAUUUCCUCAGUCCCGGUGCUCAGUCUCCUUUCGAUCCUGGGCUUGAUAUGAGUUUUUGCCCUUUAAACAAUACACGCACAGGUUUCUACCCAAUCCUGGUCAAGUAAGUUUUGGAGCACCUUAUGAGUUAAUGGCAGUCAAAUUUCAUCAGCCAAAAGCUUGGCCCUUGUGCCUGGCCCCAGAUAUUAUAGACCUUUAAGGCCUCCUCCACCAACACUGACAACAGAGUCUGGGGUCCUGUCUCAAAUUUUUGUAACUUCCUUCUGACACCUGGAGCAGACUGCAUUAUAAAAUGCAUGACCAUCAAAUCUGGGACACUUUUGCCAUUGAUCAUCCACAAUCUAACCUCUCAGCCUGGCUCACAGAGAUUACUUUUGGAGCUGAAAUAUACCUUACUCAUCAUCUGAGAUGCAAUCAACAGCUUUAUUCUACCACUGGAGUAAAGGAGGCCUUGACAGCUGGAAAUGCUUGCUCAAGGCUAGACUCUGCACCCAGCUCCCUCCCCUGCCACACGCUGGGCAGUGUCUCUCCCACCCACAAGCCUGGGACAAAAGUGAGAUGAUCUAUGAAUUAAAGAAAAAAUUGAUGAAAGAUCUUCUAAACCAAUCAACAAG
This 1105-nucleotide long non-coding RNA is filed under the name Fukomys damarensis (Damara mole-rat). Its description in RNAcentral is "lncRNA (ENSFDAG00000021820.1)". The record is from RNAcentral. Lineage: Eukaryota; Metazoa; Chordata; Mammalia; Rodentia; Bathyergidae.